UCUUAAAAUAAAGCCUAGCGUCAUAAUCCCUCCACGUUUUUUCAAAGAAAAACAUGCAUUUCAAGGCGCUAUGGAUUUCAAAGACCAUGGAUUUACUCAGAACUUAUGGGUUUUAAAAAAGGCUUUAAAAGGAAAUAACUAAAAAACUUUUCCAGUAAUUUAAGAUGAUACCGGGGAAGGUUUUCCGGUUUAUCCCGGAGGGCUUGUAGCUCAGUUGGU
This 219-nucleotide unclassified non-coding RNA is filed under the name uncultured Bartonella sp. RNAcentral's name for it is "partial 16S-23S ribosomal RNA intergenic spacer". Lineage: Bacteria; Pseudomonadati; Pseudomonadota; Alphaproteobacteria; Hyphomicrobiales; Bartonellaceae. The record is from RNAcentral.